This is a long non-coding RNA of Dreissena polymorpha, 237 nucleotides long. RefSeq lists it as uncharacterized. The record is from RefSeq and is a predicted model, not a curated record. Lineage: Eukaryota; Metazoa; Mollusca; Bivalvia; Myida; Dreissenidae. The transcript is spliced from 3 exons.
GCACCCAUAUCUAUCGGUCCGAUGCGUUGGUACUGGCAAGAGAGCGAUGACACAUGGAAUCUAUUCACACCUGAAUCUCUUCAACAAACCCUUGAGACAAAAUACAAUGCUAAGCAGCGCAUAUACCUGUUUUCACGAGAGAACUACAAAUGGAGCUACUCUGUUGACUUUGAUCUCAUGACUCAGACAAAUUUGAAUACUGGACAAAUUAGAAAACUCAAACGCUGCAGUGAAACA